This 482-nucleotide ribosomal RNA is filed under the name uncultured bacterium. RNAcentral describes it as "bacterial SSU rRNA". It matches the Rfam family "Bacterial small subunit ribosomal RNA", at positions 29 to 506 of the family's 1533-position model. The record is from RNAcentral.
UUGAACGCUGGCGGCAUGCUUUACACAUGCAAGUCGAACGGCAGCGGGGGCUUCGGCCUGCCGGCGAGUGGCGAACGGGUGAGUAAUGCAUCGGAACGUACCCAGUCGUGGGGGAUAACUACGCGAAAGCGUAGCUAAUACCGCAUACGCCCUGAGGGUGAAAGCGGGGGAUCGCAAGACCUCGCGCGACAGGAGCGGCCGAUAUCGGAUUAGCUAGUUGGUGAGGUAAAGGCUCACCAAGGCGACGAUCCGUAGCUGGUCUGAGAGGACGACCAGCCACACUGGAACUGGGACACGGUCCAGACUCCUACGGGAGGCAGCAGUGGGGAAUUUUGGACAAUGGGCGCAAGCCUGAUCCAGCCAUGCCGCGUGAGUGAAGAAGGCCUUCGGGUUGUAAAGCUCUUUCAGACGGAAAGAAAUCGGGCGCGUGAAUAGCGUGCCUGGAUGACGGUACUGUCAGAAGAAGCACCGGCUAACUACGU